ACACUGCUGACGAGUCCCAAAUAGGACGAACCAACUGUCCAGUGC
This 45-nucleotide non-coding RNA is filed under the name Echinostoma caproni. Lineage: Eukaryota; Metazoa; Platyhelminthes; Trematoda; Plagiorchiida; Echinostomatidae. The record is from RNAcentral.